Columba livia (rock pigeon) is the source of this 5178-nucleotide long non-coding RNA. RefSeq lists it as uncharacterized. The transcript is spliced from 3 exons. Lineage: Eukaryota; Metazoa; Chordata; Aves; Columbiformes; Columbidae. The record is from RefSeq and is a predicted model, not a curated record.
UUUAUUAGAGACAAGCAUACAUUUCCCUCUUCACUGUAACCCUUAAACAGAAAGCACCAGCAGCUGACGAGGAACAACACAUUUCACAGACUCUUACAAAAGUUCUCUACUUCGGGAUCAGAAUUGCUGAAGUCUCCCAAGUGCUUUUGAGUUGGAAGUUAGCAUCUUCACUAUUGCAUUUUGAGAAAUUACCACAUGAUGGGAAAAAGUCAUUAAUUUAAUUACAAUACCUCCUAUGGUGCUGCUUGCAAUCAAUGUUGUGUUUGUCAAAUUGUCCGUAGAAACUUUUUGCAAUUUGUGCAUUGGCACAUAUGACAUUUUAUGCAAAUACAAUAGCAAUAAACUGCUUACAAGUCAGCUACAGUGUUUCUAACAGAACAUUGAAUUCUCUUCAUUAAAUCUACUAAGCAAUGUAAUAUUUACUUCACAUACUGCUGCAGCAUUGUGUGUUGUUUUCUUGACAUCCACUAAUUAUUGCUAUUCAUGUGAAAUUAUUUCUUUUUAAAAUAUGUAAAUGUUUUGGUGUCACAUCUAAUACACUAAAAGGUUAAACAAUCGUAUUUUGUCAUAAACUGAGCUCAUUUUCACACACAUAUUAGAGCUUUUCUUACAUUUAAAGAUGGAAGUGGUCACAUAGUUUCAAAUGACACAGUGAAAUGUUUCAGAAAGUCAGACUUCAGUUUAUAGGCCAGUGCUGUAAAGGCAUUUCCUCCAAUGCUCUAAUAAAAAUUGAUAAAUAUAUAUUCUGGCGAUAUUGAUUGUCCAGCAGUAAAAAAAUCCAUUUAAUAACCAUUAUAUUCCUAUAUAGCAAUUAUAUGCAGAAGUAUAUGUAUAGUCAUUUCCAUAUUCAUUAAUAUUAUAAAAUCUAUUUUUAUAUUGAAAAUAUGUGAAUUAAAAUGUUCAUAAUGUUUGUAAAAGUUCACUAUUAAGUAUCAAGAAAAAAAAAAAAAAAAGAAGAAAAACAUAAAAUACCAGUUCAUAAAACUUACAGGCAACACAAAGGUUAUUGAAGAGCUAAACAGAGGUGGAAUACAGAGCAGACUAAUUUUUUGCUAAACAGGACACAGUUUCACAAGUACAAGGAAGCAAACACCUGGGAACCAAGUAUGCGAAUCUGUCACUCUGAGGGCUGGGCACUGCUUGUUGGAAAUCCAUGAUUCUGAACACAUCUGGUGAAACUGUGUUUAUAAACAACUAAACAUGGUCUCUCAGUUCGGAGUAUCAGCUAAAGCAUUUAACAAGAGACUUAAAUAAAUAAAUAGACAUGUCUGUUAGAAGGAUGAUUUUCCUUUGAAUCUAGAAUUUCCUAGAAUCUUUCCAUUGUAUGUUUUCUGGGUAAAUCUGCUCUGCAUAGUCGUCCCCUUCCAGUGUCUGUUUCUUUAUUAGCCAGCGAUAAUUUAGUAGCAAAUGAAUAGGUAACCAGCCACUGCAGACCAGGUAUUUCCUUUUUUUUUGAUAUGUUCCCAUCAGCCUGUCAUUCUGUCAGUCAGUGUGUCUCUGCCUGGGUAUACACAAUGGUAGGAUUCUAAUGGUAUAAGUAAUUUCAUGGGACUAUUUAAGUGCCUCUGGUCUGUUAACCAAGUGUUUUGUUUCUGUAUUUUAGCGUAUGAAUUCCAACAUAGUUUCACUUUAGGUUGUGAAAUCCUGCUUAGGAUUCCAAAGUAAUUUUUGGUAACACUUGAUUUAAUCCUUGCCAGUAUUUAUGAGUGGUGAGAAAAAUAAUUAUGAAAAACCUCACACAGAGAAGCUCCAAGCACAAGGAAGGAGCUAGGCGUGAUGUCAAGAAAAUGAAGGUAUUCUUGAUAUAGAAGUCGCUCAUUAUUUUUUGUUCUCCCAGAAAAUGAGUGGCCCUUAGGGACAUGAAUUCCAGGAAAACAAAUUUGGUUUUAUUUAGCAAGAUUUCUACAGAAUUAAAAAAUUGUGUUUGUCAGUUAAAUACUAAGGAGCCAGUUGGCAGAUUAGAGAAUUUUAGUGCCUGUUCUUUUUGUUUUUUUUUUUAUUUCAAACGUUUAAGAUAAAGCUUUGUUUAAUUUAACAAAUGUUUUGGAACAUCUUUAUUAAACAAACUAUUAGCAAAAAAUAACAGGUACUUAAGAGUCCCCAAAUCACUCUAUCUUGCAAAACUGCUGAGAGAGAAACUGUUUGGUUGAUUAUUAUGCUUCAGACAUAAAUUGUAUUGAGAUGUAUGGUUGUUCAUAGCUAGAUACAAUGCUGUAUGUAUUUCAAAAUACAUGCAGUUUUCAUUUCUUUACUAUUAUACUUUCUUUGCUUUACUUUCUUUAAUGAAUGAGGAUUAUUUCAAGAUUACUUAAGCUUUUAUACAUAAGUAACUUUACACUCCCAAAGGUGAAAAUUUGUAGACAGAAGCUCUUAUGGAUGUCUGUGUCUGAAUUUCCAUAAGACAUGAAUAGAAUAUGCAUGAAUAUGCACAUGCAUAGAAAUGAAUAUCACUUCUUUGCAGGAGGGCAAUGGAUUCAUUCCAUUAGCCCUCUCAAGCUGGAAGAAAGAGAAUGAUGAAAGUUGCUUCAGUCCUGAGGCUGCAGUAGCCACAGCAGCAGCUGUUACACAAUGUGCUCUAAGCAUGAAUGCAAUAGGUCAGGCACAGGGCUGACUAGUCCUUGGAUAGGCUGCAAAGUGUAAUGCCUCAGCACUUCAUGACUCUCAUGUGCCAAGGGCGCAUCUCCGCUUGAAUGUUGGACACGAGCUGAAGUCACUUAUGUCAGUGUUCUUGCCUCAUAUUGCACCAAUUCCUUAUGGAAACAUCUCCUCAACUGCACACUGUUCAUUUACAGAUUAUUGUUGCACAGCUCCAGGACAGACUGGCUGGAGGUAACUGCACAGCAAGUGUAUAAUGGAGAACUGACUGGUGAGACAAGGAAGGGAAAAAAGUAUUUCACUUCACUGUCACUCUUCCUUUCUCCUUUCGUCAUACUGUGCUCCAUUUAUCCAAUUUCCUUUCCCUGGAAUCCUAUGAUCUUAGCCAUUUUUACUGCCUAGGGAGGUAAAACACUGGAAACAGAUGCAUGACCUGGGUUAAAGCACAGGUCUCAGUCUCUGGAACUCCAUGAAUGAAAGCAAAGAUGAGGAAGCAGCACAGUAAAAUGUAUGGCAGCUAAAAGCUGGGUAGGAUAAAAGACAUAGCUGCAAUUCUAGCAAAAUGAUUGCUUGGUCUUAAACCUCUGGGAUCUUUUACAGAAUCCAGUUUAAGUUUAAAAAAAAAUCUAAUUAUGAGGCUCUUAACACUCAGCUCUAAACCAUGACAGCCAAAGUGCCUUUGCUGCCAUGUCACUAAUUGGUCAUUUGGAGCACUGGGGUUGCCAGGAUUGACACAGUGAAAAUGAAAGGCAAUUGGUGAGUCACUGAUAAUUAAGUAGGGAGAAACUAAAGGAAAACCUGUUUUGCCCCUGGUUUGGCAGUUUCAGAACAUUAGCCUGGCCCUGCAGCAGAAAGUAAAAGGCCACUCUGAGUCAGCAAUACUUUUUUGGUGUAUGUUUCCACAGAAACACAGUGCAAACAGAGAACUGUUAACAGAUGUGCUGAGCUGACUCAAGGAGACUUUGGCUCUCCAUGUAAACGCAAGACAGCAAUAUUUCAUCAUAUCGAAGAACUUUCAUUUCACACCUGACUGAAAGCCAAAAUAUGAAGUCCCAAACCAGAUGCCAUUUUUCGAUUAUGUCAGUCUGAGUAGUCAGUGUGCAAUAAAAUUGCCUGUGUCAGAAAUGGCUGUGCUACAUACGUUUAACUGGUGCUCAUCAAACAACUUUCUAGCCUGCCAUUGUGGCAUAGCAAAACUGAGAAGAAAUCAUUGGAAAGUGUGAAUCUGGUAAUCUGAGAACAUGCUGGCCUUAUUAGCUAUAAGAAAAAGACACUGAUCCCUGAGAAAUUUCUGCUAACUGUUAAACAUCACCAGACAUGACAGCCUUUCCUUGGCUCUGGGGUACUAUCCACGCUGUAAACUAUUUGCCUGAGGUUCUGCAGAUAAUGGAGAUGGAACAAACACUGCAGUAAAUGAACCUGUCUGUCUCACAGGGUGACCUCAGCCUGGAUCUCCACACAAAGUACAAGUGUUAUGGAAAUUACAUCUUGACACUUUGAUAUAAGAAACACUUCCACAAUAGUUGGAAUAUGUUAUCUAAAAUUAUUUAUCUUGGGUGGGAAAGAAACAAACAUACUAGUGGAGAAGUUAGUAGAAGAAUGACUGCACUUUUUCUCUUUAGUCAUUAGAUAAAUGCAUUUUAAAUGACAGCAUAAUGAAAAACAAACACUAGAUAACAGGUCAGGGACCACUUCUCAAAAAUACUUUUUGACAUAGGUAGUCUUCGCUCAUUCUAAGGUGUACCCCUGAAAAUCAGGGGUAAAUAGUGUAUAAAUAACAUUCCGGUUUGAAUUAAAAUAUAGCAUAGACAACAUUUUCCACAGUCGAAGUCUCAGUUCUGCUUCAGGGAAGACACGUUCAAGAGUUCCUCAAAUAAAACUUUCUCCGUUGCUCAUACUCAUGUGUAAAAAUUAAUGGAAAAUGUUCUUUCUCACCCUCACUAAUCCGCAUUUCCUGGAAGUCUGAUAACUAAUAAGGCACAUGCAGAAAUUCAUGAGCAAUGCCUGUGCACUCUAUCCCUGAGUCAAACUGCUAACCACACCUUAUUCCUCAGGGAGAAAAGGUGCUGAUUUUAAGGAUCAGGAUCCAAUUGACCCUUCUCUGGUUCACCAUCUGUAAUUAUCAGCUUGCUUUCACUCAGUUAACCAGACUCCAUCUACUCUUGUUGUUGCAAGAUAACAGACAUUCAGAAGCCAAGUGUGAGAAUUUCAAUGGUGCAGAAGACCCCGGGUUAUAAGGGUCUGAAAGCUGAGAGAAGACAAAGAAUUGCUCACUGGAUGUGGUGCAGGCAAACUACAGCAACCAGUAACUGAGUAAUUAAACUGGAGAGAAGGUUACAAGCACUUAGAUUGAAUUUCUUCCUUUUUGCAUUGGGAUCAUUGGGCCAGAGAGAGAGAAGCAAAACAUCAAAAGAACUAUGUCUCAUGAAAGCAACAAGAAGGCAGCAGUAGCUAUUUUGGUACAGUUUAGUUUAACUCUGAUCUAAAAACCACACUCAGUAUUCAGAUCUGAAUGCCAAAUGACUUUUUCUCUGGGACGUCUGCUGUACCGAGUCCUGUACAACCAACAGGGUUUAUUGAAAA